This 92-nucleotide microRNA precursor is filed under the name Paramuricea clavata. The record is from RNAcentral. Lineage: Eukaryota; Metazoa; Cnidaria; Anthozoa; Malacalcyonacea; Plexauridae.
GGGUUAAAAUGCGGAACGGAACGAAUAUGAGGUUAAAACUUAUUUUAAAACCCAUAUCCGUUCCGUUCCGCAUUUUAACCCCAUAUCCGUUC